UACAUGGUGAGUUCGUGGCCAGCCUGAACUGCACAGUGAGACCCUGUCUUAAAAACACACACACACACACACACACACACACACACACAACACAAACCAAAUUAGGAGUUAGAGUUAGGGGAAAAAAAAGAGCAAACAUCCACUCAAAGCAAUAAUUUCAGUUUUGCUUGUAAGCAUGCACAUAUAUAAUCUGUUAAGCAUCUGUAUAAUAGUGGUUGAUCCUCAAUAAAUUUCAUGCCACUAUAAAACAUAUCUUCAAUUGUGUGAAAUUAUAAUCAUACCAUACAAAAUUGAACACAGUAUGCUAAUUUUGCCUCUGGUACAUUCUAGGCAAAAAAACAGGAAAGAAAUAUUUUAUGUUCAUUUACACUAAUAAAAAUUUCUACUACCUCUUUAAAUAUAUGUUUCUCUUUUGGAAAAAUUUCCUGGACAAUAUACAAUAAUAUAGGGCUGAGAUUUUAAAAUGCUAUAAAUCUUUCCAUUUUAUUUGAGCUAACUAGUCAAAUGUACCUCAACUGUAAUAUUUAGAAGUCCAAAGUAAUUUAAAAGGCUUAUUCAUAUCUUUUCUGGUUUUAAAUUGUCCUUUGAUACAUAGCAGGAUCAACACAGAUCUAGAUAAGACUACUUUUGGAGACUUUUUAAUAUUAAAACACCAUUCUUGCAAAAAGCAAUUUGUAUCUUCAGCCCACUUAAGAUUAUAUAAUAAAUUUAGUGCAGAGGUAAAAUCAAGUUUCUAAGUUAUUGGUGAAAGGGAUACACAUGGUAAAAUUUUUAAAGAGCCAUGCAUAUGAUUAAUGAGCUAGAAAAGUUGAUUUAUGAGGAAAGAUUAAAAGAAUUAACUAGGCGUGGAAUAGCUAAGCAAAAAAGGAAGAAAAUAUAUAAAUUAAAAAUAUUUUUCUUGCUAUAGAUAAAACACUCCAUUAGAAUAUUUAAAUUUGGACAAGAAGGAAAAACUAUGCAAGAAUCUACAGUCUCUGAGUACACCUGUUUGAUUCCUUGGACUUUAAAGUACCACUCAUGCCGGCAGUUGCAGAUCUUGGCCAGGUCCCCGGUUAAGCCAAAAGUACUGUGCAUAGAAGUGGCUUACGAUUGCAACAUAAAUGCAUGGGAAUAAAAAUUUAGAAAGGAAGGGAUGAGAAAGGUCAAAUGAUGCAGCCCAGGGAAAGGGCUUCUGCAGUUGAACAUUCACCAAAAGGUGAGAAAACAUGAUUGCUGAGAUGGAAAAAGGAAACUAUUUUAUAUGUGGCUCAAAAAACUAAAUCAAGUUUGUAUGUGUGUUCACCUAACAUUAAUUUAGGAGAAGACUAGAGGAUUUCUCAAGCCUAAGAGUUAAGGAUUGGGAACAGCAAU
RNAcentral lists this long non-coding RNA (1350 nucleotides) under Chinchilla lanigera (long-tailed chinchilla). RNAcentral describes it as "lncRNA (ENSCLAG00000028840.1)". The record is from RNAcentral. Lineage: Eukaryota; Metazoa; Chordata; Mammalia; Rodentia; Chinchillidae.